GCGGCGGACGGGUGAGUAACACGUGGGCAACCUGCCCUGCAGACUGGGAUAACUUCGGGAAACCGGAGCUAAUACCGGAUAACACCGAAAACCGCAUGGUUUUCGGUUGAAAGGCGGCUUUUAGCUGUCACUGCAGGAUGGGCCCGCGGCGCAUUAGCUAGUUGGUGAGGUAACGGCUCACCAAGGCGACGAUGCGUAGCCGACCUGAGAGGGUGACCGGCCACACUGGGACUGAGACACGGCCCAGACUCCUACGGGAGGCAGCAGUAGGGAAUCUUCCGCAAUGGACGAAAGUCUGACGGAGCAACGCCGCGUGAGCGAAGAAGGUCUUCGGAUCGUAAAGCUCUGUUGUCAGGGAAAGAACAAGUGCCGUUCGAACAGGGCGGUACCUUGACGGUACCUGACGAGGAAGCCACGGCUAACUACGUGCCAGCAGCCGCGGUAAUAC
RNAcentral lists this ribosomal RNA (448 nucleotides) under Aeribacillus sp. E08D013. RNAcentral's name for it is "bacterial SSU rRNA". It matches the Rfam family "Bacterial small subunit ribosomal RNA", at positions 95 to 526 of the family's 1533-position model. The record is from RNAcentral. Lineage: Bacteria; Bacillati; Bacillota; Bacilli; Caryophanales; Bacillaceae. RNAcentral also lists the same sequence under 1 other name.